RNAcentral lists this transfer RNA (77 nucleotides) under bacterium. RNAcentral describes it as "tRNA-Pro". It matches the Rfam family "tRNA". From Rfam's summary of the family: Transfer RNA (tRNA) molecules are approximately 80 nucleotides in length. Their secondary structure includes four short double-helical elements and three loops (D, anti-codon, and T loops). Further hydrogen bonds mediate the characteristic L-shaped molecular structure. tRNAs have two regions of fundamental functional importance: the anti-codon, which is responsible for specific mRNA codon recognition, and the 3' end, to which the tRNAs corresponding amino acid is attached (by aminoacyl-tRNA synthetases). tRNAs cope with the degeneracy of the genetic code in two manners: having more than one tRNA (with a specific anti-codon) for a particular amino acid; and 'wobble' base-pairing, i.e. permitting non-standard base-pairing at the 3rd anti-codon position. The record is from RNAcentral. RNAcentral also lists the same sequence under 1 other name.
CGGAGCGUGGCGCAGCUUGGUAGCGCGCUUGGUUCGGGACCAAGAGGCCGCUGGUUCAAAUCCAGUCGCUCCGACCA